GCCUCUGUAGCUCAGUUGGUUAGAGUGCUGCUCUGGAAUUGCAGGGGCUGUGGGUUCGAUUCCUGCCAGAGGAC
This 74-nucleotide transfer RNA is filed under the name Paramuricea clavata. It matches the Rfam family "tRNA". Rfam says of the family: Transfer RNA (tRNA) molecules are approximately 80 nucleotides in length. Their secondary structure includes four short double-helical elements and three loops (D, anti-codon, and T loops). The record is from Rfam by way of RNAcentral. Lineage: Eukaryota; Metazoa; Cnidaria; Anthozoa; Malacalcyonacea; Plexauridae.